GCGGAAGUGGCGGAAUGGCAGACGCGCCGGUCUUAGGAGCCGGUACCUCGGUGUGUGGGUUCAAGUCCCAUCUUCCGCACCA
Molecule: transfer RNA, 82 nt
Filed under: Yanshouia hominis
Lineage: Bacteria; Bacillati; Bacillota; Clostridia; Eubacteriales; Oscillospiraceae
Description: Oscillospiraceae bacterium BX1 tRNA-Leu
Rfam family: tRNA
About the family: Transfer RNA (tRNA) molecules are approximately 80 nucleotides in length.
Source: RNAcentral